Molecule: ribosomal RNA, 999 nt
Filed under: uncultured organism
Description: bacterial SSU rRNA
Rfam family: Bacterial small subunit ribosomal RNA
Source: RNAcentral
GGGGAAUAUUGCACAAUGGAGGAAACUCUGACGCAGCGAUGCCGCGUGAGGGAAGAAGGUUUUAGGAUUGUAAACCUCUGUCUUCAGGGACGAAAAAAGGACGGUACCUGAGGAGGAAGCUCCGGCUAACUACGUGCCAGCAGCCGCGGUAAUACGUAGGGAGCGAGCGUUGUCCGGAAUUACUGGGUGUAAAGGGAGCGUAGGCGGGAUCGCAAGUCAGAUGUGAAAACUAUGGGCUUAACCCAUAAACUGCAUUUGAAACUGUGGUUCUUGAGUGAAGUAGAGGUAAGCGGAAUUCCUAGUGUAGCGGUGAAAUGCGUAGAUAUUAGGAGGAACAUCAGUGGCGAAGGCGGCUUACUGGGCUUUAACUGACGCUGAGGCUCGAAGGCGUGGGGAGCAAACAGGAUUAGAUACCCUGGUAGUCCACGCCGUAAACGAUGAUUACUAGGUGUGGGGGGACUGACCCCUUCCGUGCCGCAGCAAACGCAAUAAGUAAUCCACCUGGGGAGUACGACCGCAAGGUUGAAACUCAAAGGAAUUGACGGGGGCCCGCACAAGCAGUGGAGUAUGUGGAUUAAUUCGAAGCAACGCGAAGAACCUUACCAGGUCUUGACAUCGUAUGCAUAGCUCAGAGAUGAGUGAAAUCUCUUCGGAGACAUAUAGACAGGUGGUGCAUGGUUGUCGUCAGCUCGUGUCGUGAGAUGUUGGGUUAAGUCCCGCAACGAGCGCAACCCUUACUGUUAGUUGCUACGCAAGAGCACUCUAGCAGGACUGCCGUUGACAAAACGGAGGAAGGUGGGGAUGACGUCAAAUCAUCAUGCCCCUUAUGACCUGGGCCUCACACGUACUACAAUGGCUGUAAACAGAGGGAAGCAAAGCCGCGAGGUAGAGCGAACCCCUAAAAGCAGUCUUAGUUCGGAUUGUAGGCUGCAACCCGCCUACAUGAAGUCGGAAUUGCUAGUAAUCGCAGAUCAGCAUGCUGCGGUGAAUACGUUCCCG